UGCAUUCACUACUGUAAGUCGCUCUGGAUAAGAGCGUCUGCUAAAUGUAAAAUG
Molecule: non-coding RNA, 54 nt
Organism: Salmo salar (Atlantic salmon)
Lineage: Eukaryota; Metazoa; Chordata; Actinopteri; Salmoniformes; Salmonidae
Source: Rfam